GAGUUUGAUCGUGGCUCAGAUUGAACGCUGGCGGCAUGCCUUACACAUGCAAGUCGAACGGCAGCAUGAUCUAGCUUGCUAGAUUGAUGGCGAGUGGCGAACGGGUGAGUAAUACAUCGGAACGUGCCCUGUAGUGGGGGAUAACUAGUCGAAAGAUUAGCUAAUACCGCAUACGACCUGAGGGUGAAAGUGGGGGACCGCAAGGCCUCAUGCUAUAGGAGCGGCCGAUGUCUGAUUAGCUAGUUGGUGGGGUAAAGGCCCGACCAAGGCGACGAUCAGUAGCUGGUCUGAGAGGACGAUCAGCCACACUGGGACUGAGACACGGCCCAGACUCCUACGGGAGGCAGCAGUGGGGAAUUUUGGACAAUGGGCGAAAGCCUGAUCCAGCAAUGCCGCGUGUGUGAAGAAGGCCU
This 413-nucleotide ribosomal RNA is filed under the name uncultured microorganism. RNAcentral describes it as "bacterial SSU rRNA". It matches the Rfam family "Bacterial small subunit ribosomal RNA", at positions 9 to 417 of the family's 1533-position model. The record is from RNAcentral.